GCCCGGGUGGCGGAAUGGCAGACGCGAUGGACUCAAAAUCCAUUGAUCGUAAGGUCGUGGGAGUUCGACUCUCCCCUCGGGCA
This 83-nucleotide transfer RNA is filed under the name Candidatus Wolfebacteria bacterium RBG_13_41_7. Its description in RNAcentral is "tRNA-Leu". It matches the Rfam family "tRNA". Rfam says of the family: Transfer RNA (tRNA) molecules are approximately 80 nucleotides in length. Their secondary structure includes four short double-helical elements and three loops (D, anti-codon, and T loops). Further hydrogen bonds mediate the characteristic L-shaped molecular structure. tRNAs have two regions of fundamental functional importance: the anti-codon, which is responsible for specific mRNA codon recognition, and the 3' end, to which the tRNAs corresponding amino acid is attached (by aminoacyl-tRNA synthetases). tRNAs cope with the degeneracy of the genetic code in two manners: having more than one tRNA (with a specific anti-codon) for a particular amino acid; and 'wobble' base-pairing, i.e. permitting non-standard base-pairing at the 3rd anti-codon position. The record is from RNAcentral. Lineage: Bacteria; Candidatus Wolfeibacteriota.